UAGGGAAUCUUCGGCAAUGGGGGGAACCCUGACCGAGCAACGCCGCGUGAGUGAAGAAGGUUUUCGGAUCGUAAAGCUCUGUUGUUAAGGAAGAACGAGUGUGAGAAUGGAAAGUUCAUACUGUGACGGUACUUAACCAGAAAGGGACGGCUAACUACGUGCCAGCAGCCGCGGUAAUACGUAGGUCCCGAGCGUUGUCCGGAUUUAUUGGGCGUAAAGCGAGCGCAGGCGGUUAGAUAAGUCUGAAGUUAAAGGCAGUGGCUCAACCAUUGUAGGCUUUGGAAACUGUUUAACUUGAGUGCAGAAGGGGAGAGUGGAAUUCCAUGUGUAGCGGUGAAAUGCGUAGAUAUAUGGAGGAACACCAGUGGCGAAGGCGACUCUCUGGUCUGUAAAUGACGCUGAGGCUCGAAAGCGUGGGUAGCAAACAGG
RNAcentral lists this ribosomal RNA (429 nucleotides) under Bacteroidota bacterium. RNAcentral describes it as "Bacteroidetes bacterium partial 16S ribosomal RNA". It matches the Rfam family "Bacterial small subunit ribosomal RNA", at positions 355 to 776 of the family's 1533-position model. The record is from RNAcentral. Lineage: Bacteria; Pseudomonadati; Bacteroidota.